AUAUGCCAUUGCCUCGCGAGUUGGUCUUUAAAAGCCUCAAAUCUAGACACAAAUAGUUCGAUAUAAUCAACACAAGCUAUAGGAAUCAAUUCCAAAUGAUAAAGAACGGAUCUUUAAUUAUAACCCCGGAGUCAACCAACUUGAAACUUACGGAAACAUUAUGGAAUUCAAUUUCAAGAGAGAAGUUUAGCCAAUAUACUUGAAAUUUGCUCCUUGAUGAUACUACAACGAUCCACUAUAUUAAUCAACUUCAAUCUGCAAUAUCGACAUCCAAUAGAACCAACAUUAGAAACAAUACCAUAGUUUAGGCCAUAUAGGCAUUUUAUCAAACACCUAGAGUGCAUAACAUUCUACUACCUCUAGUAAUAGUGUUUCUUACUCCAGCAAUCCUCCUUACCAUUUCCGAGCCUGAAGGUGAUGAAGGCUCUGAGGACUCUAAGGGAUUUAAAGGCUUCGACGGUUCUGGCGACGAAUCAGACCCUAGUGAUGAUCAGGCAUGAAUGCCUUAGAACUUUUUUUAGUUUUGUCGUGUGUAUAUUUUUUUAUUAUUUUGAUGCCGUUUUUGUUAGGCCAUUGUAAAUACAUUCCGAAAUAUAUAAAAAAAUUUCCUUUCUGGCCAUUUCGAGCCUCUACUUUUUUAGCGUAUUUUCAUAAUUUCUAAUCACAACAAGAGAUAUUACAACACCCUUAGUCUACUAAUUGCUUUCAUUAGCACCAUUACAAUAAUCAAUAAACUCACAUCCACCCAAUUUUAUUAGUCAACUCAUUACAAAAAUUUCUAAACACACAAAAAUUUAGUUAAGCAUUUAUGGCUUCCAAGCACCAUACAAUACAUUCUAAUACUUAAUUCUACUCUUAUAUUCAUUAACAAUCCAUGCAUAUAGGUUUAAGAGUGAACGAUUACCUCUUGAAGACCAAAUCUUGAAAGACAACUUUUGGGGUGUUCUUGGGAUAUUGGACUAAUUCCUAUGGAUUUCAACCCAUAUAGAGGUUAAUACUAGCAUCAAUCAAUGUUAAUCCACCAUAAAAUAUCAUGAAACUUGCCUUUGAUGUAUUUGGUUUAGAGGAUCGAUGCUCCACCUUCUUCCUAGAACCGAAGACUUAGCCAAAAAUACCAAAUGUUUCUCUCUCUCUCUGAGCGCCUUAUUUUAAAGCACAAGGGGUCUGCAUGGGCAUGUAACCUAGCCACACGACUUGAGAUCCCUUCCGUCCUUAUUCUAGAGUAGGCCACACAGCCUGCAUGGGCCACACAUCUUGGCCACACGGGGCUUCAUUAAUGCGCCAAGUUCAAUUUCCAUCUGAACCCCGUCCGAAACUCAUCCGAGCCACUUGGGACCUCGUUCAAAUAUACCAAAAAGUCCUGUAACAUAAUAGGGACUUGCUCGAGGUCCGAAAUUACAUCAAACAACGUCAAAAUUAUAAAUUGUACCUUGAAUCGAGCUUAUACAUUUUGAAAUUUGCAAAUUUCAUAUCUUGUGACGAAACGUACCAACUCAAUCUGGAAUAACAUCAAAUUUUGCACACAAGCCAUAAAUGACAUAAGGAAGCUAUCUUAAUUUUCAGAAUCGAAUUUUGACCCUGAUAUCAAAAAGUCAACUACCCGCCAAACUUCUAAAUUUUCAAUUUCUUAUUUUCGUCAUUUCUUGCCAAAUUUAACUAAGGACCUAAAAAUAAAUAUCUGAACGCACUCCUAAGUUUGAAAUUACCAUAUAGAACUAUUGGAACCAUUAAAUCCGAUUCCGGGUCUUUUACACAUAAUUCACUAUCAGAUCAAUUGUUUCAACUUAAGCUUUAAAUCUUGAAACUAAGUGUUCCAAUUCAUUUUAAAACCUCCCGACAAGUCACAUAAUUAUAACUGAACACAGAAUAAGCAGUAAAUGGAGAAACGUGGUUGUAAUACUCGAAACGACCGGCCGAGACGUUACACUAACAACAUUAUCAGGGGCUCUCUAGCAGACAUGGGAAGCCAACAAUUACUACUGACGAGAUUUCACAAUUUGAACAACUAUCUUAUUAAGUGUUGACUAUCACAAACCCUAAUUUUAAUUGAUAACAACAUAUAAACUUCAUUGCUAAUGACUAAAUCGUGCAAACGAUUAAUUUUAUAUAGAUUUGUAGGAAAUUUUUAAAUAGACAGAUUUUAUAUCAUUGUUUAACAUGAUACAUGCAGUAGUUCAACUUAUAACACCAACUUAUAUUCCAACCAGCAAUCAAACAAAACACAACUUGAUGAAUAUCAAACAAAUUAACAGUACUGGAACACAACAAGCAGUCAACAAUUUUAUGCUUCAAACAAACUGAAAUUUACAUCACUUGAUCGAGAAAGGAUACCGGCUUAAAACAGAAUAAAAAGAAGAAAAUAAAUCUCUGGCUUUGAAGAAUAAGUAACAACCAAAACCAAAGAGCUCGGCUACAGAUUAAUAGGCAACAACAAACAACAAUUUUCGAAUUUAAAGCAACUCUCUAACUACGAGAGAAUAUGUAACAAAGAAUUUAAAUUGAAAAUAAUCUCUGAAUUUGCUUUAUUUUGAACCUUUCUUUCAUUUUUUCUUUUGGAAUCUUUUUUCUAUUUUGGUUUUCUUUCUUCUCAAAUUUGGAUUGAAAUUCCCAAAUUUCUAGCUACUAAUGUGUGAAAGUGAGAGGAAUGUAUAUUAUUUGAAAAGGCAGAAUAAAAAGUGUCUGUGAUACGCAAAAAUGAGAGGAUAUAUAGAAAAGGUGUCAGUGUGAAAAUGGAAAAAAGGCAUCUUUCCCAAAUAGAAUUUUGGUACUGCUGUCUUCCAGAUAUUCUUUCCUUUCUUUUUAAUCCUUUUUUUUCUAUUUUACUCCCUAAGUCUCUUACACCAGGCCAUUUCUUUUCUAUUCUAGAACUUUCUCUAGGCAACUAUAUAAGAUUCCUUCUUUAUUUCUAAAUUGAAACUUAAACUCUUACUAUUCCCUCCCCCCCCCCUUUCACAAGGCCAUUUCUUUUCUAUUCUAGAACUUUCUCUAGGCAACUAUAUAAGAUUCCUUACUUAUUUCUAAAUUGAAACUUAAACUCUUACUACUCCCCCCUCCCCCCCGACCCCGAUUUUCAACAACAUCAAGAGUCAUGUGACAUGAAAGUCAAAUCCUAACAGACUUCACUCGACCUCUUCUCAUCCAGUAAACCAAUUUUAAAGUCUAACAGGCCUAUCUAUUACACAAAGCAGUCCCAAUCUUUUGUUAAACUCAAACACACUGAAAAUGGGGUCUAUGCUCCAAUCAAAACUUAAAUGGAAAUCAAUAUCAAAGACAACAACUAUUUUUAUUCUAAUUUAAAAAUUAAAAUUAAAUCGAAUUAAUGAAUUUACUAACUAAUAUGACACCACAUUAAUAAACAACCACCAAUUUAAUCAACAAUUAACAGGAUUCAACACAACAUAAUCAAAACUAAUUAAACAAAAACCUCAAUUAAUCAGAAACAAACUACUAAUUAAUCUACCCUUAAACACGUAAUGCAAUCAUCCAAAAAAUGAAUGGCUACCAAUCAAACAGUAAAUCAGAUAGUUAAAUAAAAAUGAAGGAUGAAGAAGAGGAUAAAUGAGUUACCACUCGAGAUAACUUGAGAAAAACCCAAGAUUCAAUGCCAACAUCGGAGUUUCAAUACUAAUUAGUAACAACUUUUGCCCGAUAAACACUUAUCCGGACUCUCGAUGUCCGAUAAGUAUUUCAUUGGGCAAAGCACGUUGAGGUUCAACGGAUCUUGACAUAGAUGAAGGAUUCCAGUGAAAGAGAUUCUGAGUAUCAUGUUUUACCUGAAAUGACAUUAUGACAAAAAUCAAAAGGUCUUGAAGGGACCAAUUAAUCAACGUAAAGUUCAUGGUCAUAGGGGCUCUGGCUUAGUUGGGAAUUGAAAGAAAAAAAGAGAGCCUAGGGUUGGGGGGGAGGUCUGUUAGGAUAGUAUUAUGGGAUUAGAUGGUGGAGCU
This 3944-nucleotide long non-coding RNA is filed under the name Nicotiana benthamiana. RNAcentral's name for it is "long non-coding RNA (NBEN_LNC005223)". The record is from RNAcentral. Lineage: Eukaryota; Viridiplantae; Streptophyta; Magnoliopsida; Solanales; Solanaceae.